This 2905-nucleotide ribosomal RNA is filed under the name Klebsiella pneumoniae. RNAcentral describes it as "23S ribosomal RNA". It matches the Rfam family "Bacterial large subunit ribosomal RNA". Lineage: Bacteria; Pseudomonadati; Pseudomonadota; Gammaproteobacteria; Enterobacterales; Enterobacteriaceae. RNAcentral also lists the same sequence under 4 other names. The record is from RNAcentral.
GGUUAAGCGACUAAGCGUACACGGUGGAUGCCCUGGCAGUCAGAGGCGAUGAAGGACGUGCUAAUCUGCGAAAAGCGCCGGCGAGGUGAUAUGAACCUUUGACCCGGCGAUGUCCGAAUGGGGAAACCCAGUGUGUUCCGACACACUAUCGUUAACUGAAUACAUAGGUUAACGAGGCGAACCGGGGGAACUGAAACAUCUAAGUACCCCGAGGAAAAGAAAUCAACCGAGAUUCCCCCAGUAGCGGCGAGCGAACGGGGAGCAGCCCGGAGUCUGAAUCAGCUUGUGUGUUAGUGGAACGGUCUGGAAAGUCCGACGGUACAGGGUGAUAGUCCCGUACACGAAAAUGCACAUGCUGUGAACUCGAAGAGUAGGGCGGGACACGUGGUAUCCUGUCUGAAUAUGGGGGGACCAUCCUCCAAGGCUAAAUACUCCUGACUGACCGAUAGUGAACCAGUACCGUGAGGGAAAGGCGAAAAGAACCCCGGCGAGGGGAGUGAAAAAGAACCUGAAACCGUGUACGUACAAGCAGUGGGAGCACCUUCGGGUGUGACUGCGUACCUUUUGUAUAAUGGGUCAGCGACUUAUAUUCUGUAGCAAGGUUAACCGUAUAGGGGAGCCGAAGGGAAACCGAGUCUUAACUGGGCGUUAAGUUGCAGGGUAUAGACCCGAAACCCGGUGAUCUAGCCAUGGGCAGGUUGAAGGUUGGGUAACACUAACUGGAGGACCGAACCGACUAAUGUUGAAAAAUUAGCGGAUGACCUGUGGCUGGGGGUGAAAGGCCAAUCAAACCGGGAGAUAGCUGGUUCUCCCCGAAAGCUAUUUAGGUAGCGCCUCGUGAACUCAUCUUCGGGGGUAGAGCACUGUUUCGGCUAGGGGGCCAUCCCGGCUUACCAACCCGAUGCAAACUACGAAUACCGAAGAAUGUUAUCACGGGAGACACACGGCGGGUGCUAACGUCCGUCGUGAAGAGGGAAACAACCCAGACCGCCAGCUAAGGUCCCAAAGUCAUGGUUAAGUGGGAAACGAUGUGGGAAGGCACAGACAGCCAGGAUGUUGGCUUAGAAGCAGCCAUCAUUUAAAGAAAGCGUAAUAGCUCACUGGUCGAGUCGGCCUGCGCGGAAGAUGUAACGGGGCUAAACCAUGCACCGAAGCUGCGGCAGCGACGCUUAUGCGUUGUUGGGUAGGGGAGCGUUCUGUAAGCCGUUGAAGGUGUGCUGUGAGGCAUGCUGGAGGUAUCAGAAGUGCGAAUGCUGACAUAAGUAACGAUAAAGCGGGUGAAAAGCCCGCUCGCCGGAAGACCAAGGGUUCCUGUCCAACGUUAAUCGGGGCAGGGUGAGUCGACCCCUAAGGCGAGGCCGAAAGGCGUAGUCGAUGGGAAACAGGUUAAUAUUCCUGUACUUGGUGUUACUGCGAAGGGGGGACGGAGAAGGCUAUGUCAGCCGGGCGACGGUUGUCCCGGUUUAAGCAUGUAGGCGGAGGUUCCAGGUAAAUCCGGUACCUUAUUAACGCUGAGGUGUGAUGACGAGGCACUACGGUGCUGAAGUGAUAAAUGCCCUGCUUCCAGGAAAAGCCUCUAAGCAUCAGGUAACACGAAAUCGUACCCCAAACCGACACAGGUGGUCAGGUAGAGAAUACCAAGGCGCUUGAGAGAACUCGGGUGAAGGAACUAGGCAAAAUGGUGCCGUAACUUCGGGAGAAGGCACGCUGAUAUGUAGGUGAAGCCCCUGCGGGCGGAGCUGAAAUCAGUCGAAGAUACCAGCUGGCUGCAACUGUUUAUUAAAAACACAGCACUGUGCAAACACGAAAGUGGACGUAUACGGUGUGACGCCUGCCCGGUGCCGGAAGGUUAAUUGAUGGGGUUAGCGGCAACGCGAAGCUCUUGAUCGAAGCCCCGGUAAACGGCGGCCGUAACUAUAACGGUCCUAAGGUAGCGAAAUUCCUUGUCGGGUAAGUUCCGACCUGCACGAAUGGCGUAAUGAUGGCCAGGCUGUCUCCACCCGAGACUCAGUGAAAUUGAACUCGCUGUGAAGAUGCAGUGUACCCGCGGCAAGACGGAAAGACCCCGUGAACCUUUACUAUAGCUUGACACUGAACACUGGUCCUUGAUGUGUAGGAUAGGUGGGAGGCUUUGAAGCGUGGACGCCAGUCUGCGUGGAGCCGCCCUUGAAAUACCACCCUUUAAUGGCUGGUGUUCUAACGUAGACCCGUGAUCCGGGUUGCGGACAGUGUCUGGUGGGUAGUUUGACUGGGGCGGUCUCCUCCCAAAGAGUAACGGAGGAGCACGAAGGUUGGCUAAUCCUGGUCGGACAUCAGGAGGUUAGUGCAAUGGCAUAAGCCAGCUUGACUGCGAGCGUGACGGCGCGAGCAGGUGCGAAAGCAGGUCAUAGUGAUCCGGUGGUUCUGAAUGGAAGGGCCAUCGCUCAACGGAUAAAAGGUACUCCGGGGAUAACAGGCUGAUACCGCCCAAGAGUUCAUAUCGACGGCGGUGUUUGGCACCUCGAUGUCGGCUCAUCACAUCCUGGGGCUGAAGUAGGUCCCAAGGGUAUGGCUGUUCGCCAUUUAAAGUGGUACGCGAGCUGGGUUUAGAACGUCGUGAGACAGUUCGGUCCCUAUCUGCCGUGGGCGCUGGAGAAUUGAGGGGGGCUGCUCCUAGUACGAGAGGACCGGAGUGGACGCAUCACUGGUGUUCGGGUUGUCAUGCCAAUGGCACUGCCCGGUAGCUAAAUGCGGAAGAGAUAAGUGCUGAAAGCAUCUAAGCACGAAACUUGCCCCGAGAUGAGUUCUCCCUGAGACCUUGAGUCUCCUGAAGGAACGUUGAAGACGACGACGUUGAUAGGUCGGGUGUGUAAGCGCAGCGAUGCGUUGAGCUAACCGAUACUAAUGAACCGUGAGGCUUAACCUU